Molecule: ribosomal RNA, 968 nt
Filed under: Sodalis-like symbiont of Ommatidiotus dissimilis
Lineage: Bacteria; Pseudomonadati; Pseudomonadota; Gammaproteobacteria; Enterobacterales; Bruguierivoracaceae
Description: bacterial SSU rRNA
Rfam family: Bacterial small subunit ribosomal RNA
Source: RNAcentral
AAGAAGCACCGGCUAACUCCGUGCCAGCAGCCGCGGUAAUACGGAGGGUGCAAGCGUUAAUCGGAAUUACUGGGCGUAAAGCGUACGCAGGCGGUCUGUUAAGUCAGAUGUGAAAUCCCCGGGCUCAACCUGGGAACUGCAUUUGAAACUGGCAGGCUAGAGUCUCGUAGAGGGGGGUAGAAUUCCAGGUGUAGCGGUGAAAUGCGUAGAUAUCUGGAGGAAUACCGGUGGCGAAGGCGUCCCCCUGGACGAAGACUGACGCUCAGGUACGAAAGCGUGGGGAGCAAACAGGAUUAGAUACCCUGGUAGUCCAUGCUGUAAACGAUGUCGAUUUGAAGGUUGUGGUCCUGAGCCGUGGCUUUCGGAGCUAACGCGUUAAAUCGACCGCCUGGGGAGUACGGCCGCAAGGUUAAAACUCAAAUGAAUUGACGGGGGCCCGCACAAGCGGUGGAGCAUGUGGUUUAAUUCGAUGCAACGCGAAGAACCUUACCUACUCUUGACAUCCAGAGAACUUGGCAGCGAUGCCUUGGUACCUUCGGGAACCCUGAGGCAGGUGCUGCAUGGCUGUCGUCAGCUCGCGUUGUGAAAUGUUGGGUUAAGUCCCGCAACGAGCGCAACCCUUAUCCUUUGUUGCCAGCGAUUAGGUCGGGAACUCAAAGGAGACUGCCGGUGAUAAACCGGAGGAAGGUGGGGAUAACGUCAAGUCAUCAUGGCCCUUACGAGUAGGGCUACACACGUGCUACAAUGGCGUAUACAAAGAGAAGCAAUCUCGCGAGAGUUAGCGGACCUCAUAGAGUACGUCGUAGUCCGGAUUGGAGUCUGCAACUCGACUCCAUGAAGUCGGAAUCGCUAGUAAUCGUAGAUCAGAAUGCUACGGUGAAUACGUUCCCGGGCCUUGUACACACCGCCCGUCACACCAUGGGAGUGGGUUGCAAAAGAAGUAGGUAGCUUAACCUUUAGGAGGGCGC